RNAcentral lists this ribosomal RNA (253 nucleotides) under uncultured bacterium. RNAcentral describes it as "partial 16S ribosomal RNA". It matches the Rfam family "Bacterial small subunit ribosomal RNA", at positions 524 to 776 of the family's 1533-position model. The record is from RNAcentral.
UACGAGUGCCCCAAGCGUUAUCCGGAAUUAUUGGGCGUAAAGGGUGUGUAGGUGGUUUUGUUAGUCUUCUGUUAAAGCUCCCGGCUUAACCGGGAAAGUGCAGAGGAAACGGCAAGACUAGAGGAUGUGAGAGGUUUGCGGAACUCAAGGUGUAGGGGUGAAAUCCGUUGAUAUCUUGGGGAACACCAAAAGCGAAGGCAGCAAACUGGCGCAUUCCUGACACUGAAACACGAAAGCGUGGGUAGCGAAUGGG